AUAAAACUAUAGGUGUGGGUUUACCUCACAUGUCCUGUAAAACAGAAGUGUACGGUAGCUUGAGUUUUAAUUUUCCUUAAAAAAAAAAAAAAGCAUGCUCAGGGCUCAGUUUGGGCUCCUCUGUCCCAGAAAUUCCGUGAUCCUGCCCCCUCCCUCUGGCUUGGCCUGAAUUUGGGUCUUCCUGUUCUUUGUCCCAAGGGAUUCCCAUUCUCUGCCAGGUUCAGACAGGAUGACUCAGCCUGGAAACCUCCCUUCAAAAGGCACAGGAGCACAGGCAGAUCCCCUGCCCGCUUGCCUGUCCUGGCUCUUCUUCCUUGGGAGGGUGCUCUGGCAUCUAGGUUCCAGCGCUGGCCCCAAGGCACCUCUAGCCUCACCCUCUUCCCCCAGACACACAGCCACAAGCCCUCUAGCCGACUUUCCUGCCUACGCUGAUGCCCUUCCAGCUCAGAGAGCUAAAGAGGAGACAUCCCCGCCCAACAGGAUGCUUGGGAAAUGCGUGUGUUCCUUACGGCUCAGGAAGAGGUCUUUCUCUAAAGAACAAUCCUGAACUUUGUCCAAAGCAUCGCGAACUUGCUGGGAGUCAUCUUCCUGUGAGCAUCUGGAAAAAAGCCUUGUGUCCAAGCAGAAUUGGAAGCACACAUCUACUGUUUCCUUUAGUCAAGACCUUGAAUUCCUGGAGCUGUUUCCUGCCCCCGCUGAUGGCCACGGUCCCUCUCUGGGGCUGCCAGAUUUGGGUAAUGUCUUCUGGAAAGAUACAGAAGUGUCACAGCAGAGCACAUGAUGAAUUUGUGGUGAGAAUUGGGGUUUGGGGAACAUUGGAAAUGGCUCAUUGGACGGGUAGAGGGAGGCUCCGCUCAUAAUGAGGAAGACUUCUAGAAUCAACCCUGACAUUCAGAAGUAGCCUUGGGUUAGGAGUGAGAAGGUGUAAGUUCUCAGGAACGGUUCUGAUUCUGAAAUGUAGUCCUAGCCUAGAAACUUCAACCCUUGGUACGUCAGACUCCACAGGUAUAAAACACAGCAGAUUGGAUUGUGUUCAUACAGUCCCCAAAUAUUUAUUGAGCACCUACUCGCACACAUGCACUAUGUGUUAAUAUCAGCCUAGUAUAGAGAGAGUAAUGGGAAUUGAUUCUUGGUCCUUGACUGAGAGUGGGAGGGAGAGAGGACGGCUCACAGACUGAUGGAAAAGAAUGAAGGAGUUAUUAGACAUCAGUGACAAAAGCUAAGUUGGGAACACAUGCGGAGAGAGGGGAAACAGCCUUGGGAAACCACAGGUGGAUGAGAACACAGGUGUUGGGUAGGACUGCUGCUGCUGCUGCUGCUGCUGCUGCUGCUGCUAAGUCGCUUUAGUCGUGUCCGACUCUGUGUGACCCCAUAGACGGCAGCCCACCAGGCU
Long non-coding RNA from Bos indicus x Bos taurus (hybrid cattle), 1393 nucleotides. The record is from Ensembl. Lineage: Eukaryota; Metazoa; Chordata; Mammalia; Artiodactyla; Bovidae.